RNAcentral lists this ribosomal RNA (143 nucleotides) under Ceratobasidium sp. Its description in RNAcentral is "partial large subunit ribosomal RNA". It matches the Rfam family "Eukaryotic small subunit ribosomal RNA", at positions 1334 to 1498 of the family's 1831-position model. The record is from RNAcentral. Lineage: Eukaryota; Fungi; Basidiomycota; Agaricomycetes; Cantharellales; Ceratobasidiaceae.
AACGAGACCUUAACCUGCUAAAUAGUCCGGCCGGCUUUUGCUGGUCGCAGACUUCUUAGAGGGACUGUCAGCGUCUAGCUGACGGAAGUUUGAGGCAAUAACAGGUCUGUGAUGCCCUUAGAUGUUCUGGGCCGCACGCGCGC